CUAGUACUCCCUCCGUCCCAAAAUUCUUGUCUUGGAUUUGUCUUGUAUCUAACACUAAAACGUAACUAGAUACAUCCAUAUUUAGACAAAUCUAAGACAAGAAUUUUGGGCCGGAGGGAGUACAAC
Molecule: non-coding RNA, 126 nt
Organism: Triticum aestivum (bread wheat)
Lineage: Eukaryota; Viridiplantae; Streptophyta; Magnoliopsida; Poales; Poaceae
Source: Rfam